AUGUAGGGUGUUUUUAAAAGCUUCACGACCAUUUACAUAGACUUCAGGUGAGACCUCCUCCUUUCUGGUGAGAAAGGCACGCUUCCUUCAAGUUUCAAGUACAAAAGCAAUCAAUACUUGCAAGCCUUCUAGUGCCGAGUGUUUUUUCAAGGUCUCGUUUCCGUCUAUAUCCAAGACAUGAAACCCUAAAUCCUUGCAUGGGAAUUCCAGUAGCAUUCAAGUUCCAGCACAACUUACAAUAGCAACUAUUGCAUUGCCAUCUACGAGAACUGUAUUGAUAUGAAUCAGCUCGAAGAUAUGGUGGCCCAAAGCAAGUCGUCCCAUCCUAGAACUCCUUCCAGAAACAGUGCGCCAUCUCUAUUUUCCUCAAGCUCUCCUAUUCCAAAUCCAUUCUGCACGUUCGUUGUGUCCGGCAUUGCACUUCUCUCUCCAUCUCCGUUAAUUAUACUAUUCAGCCAAGCUUCAUCAUUCUCCCAGAUUGCCGGUAGUUCUGGUUGUUAAUUAUAAA
Molecule: long non-coding RNA, 508 nt
Filed under: Phoenix dactylifera (date palm)
Lineage: Eukaryota; Viridiplantae; Streptophyta; Magnoliopsida; Arecales; Arecaceae
Description: long non-coding RNA (PDAC_LNC015031)
Source: RNAcentral